GGUCCUACGACAGGAGAGACCAAAGGCAUGGCAGGCAAGAAAUUCCAGGACCCAUUAGAAGUCAUGUGGCAAAUGCUGAAGGAAUGUCUGCAGAGAAGGCAAGAAAUGAAAGGAGAGCCUGUGCAGAAGGAAGCACUUCCAGGAGGAAGCAGUGGUUCUGUGCCAGCCUCUGCUGCAGGAAGGGAGGCCAUGCCAGGCACAGGCACAGGAGAUGAGGGUGUUGGGAAGGCUUCUCCAUCAGCUUGGAUGAAUAAAGUUUUGAAGCCCUUGCAGCCUCCUACAGGUAUGUUCUAAGUGUGCCACCAAGGAAGAAUUGUAGACAAGUGGGCAGGAACCAGGUGACAGAAGCUGCUGGGGCUGUUUUGUUACAGAUGUGUCUACAGGGAAGACUUCUCCAGCUUCUCCAGCUGCUACCUUGGAUGCUGCACUCAAGCCCAGCUCCCAUCUCAGGGGUGAGUAGUGUGUCCCUGCUGACCCACAGGCUGAGCCCUGCUUUUGUGGGAUCCAUUCCUGGGAAAUGGAACUACUUUCUCUUAAGGUCCUCCACCAGAAGCGACCAAAGGCAUGGCAGACAAGAAAUUCCAGAACCCAUUUGAAAUCAUGUGGCAAAUGCUGAAGGAACCCCUGC
Passer domesticus (house sparrow) is the source of this 628-nucleotide long non-coding RNA. RefSeq lists it as uncharacterized. NCBI's taxonomy places the organism in Eukaryota, Metazoa, Chordata, Aves, Passeriformes, Passeridae. The transcript has 3 exons. The record is from RefSeq and is a predicted model, not a curated record.